Molecule: ribosomal RNA, 492 nt
Filed under: uncultured bacterium
Lineage: Bacteria
Description: partial 16S ribosomal RNA
Rfam family: Bacterial small subunit ribosomal RNA
Source: RNAcentral
AGUGAACGCUGGCGGUAGGCCUAACACAUGCAAGUCGAACGGCAGCACAGUAAGAGCUUGCUCUUACGGGUGGCGAGUGGCGGACGGGUGAGGAAUACAUCGGAAUCUACUUUUUCGUGGGGGAUAACGUAGGGAAACUUACGCUAAUACCGCAUACGACCUACGGGUGAAAGCAGGGGAUCUUCGGACCUUGCGCGAUUGAAUGAGCCGAUGUCGGAUUAGCUAGUUGGCGGGGUAAAGGCCCACCAAGGCGACGAUCCGUAGCUGGUCUGAGAGGAUGAUCAGCCACACUGGAACUGAGACACGGUCCAGACUCCUACGGGAGGCAGCAGUGGGGAAUAUUGGUCAAAGGGCGCAAGCCUGAUCCAGCCAUACCGCGUGGGUGAAGAAGGCCUUCGGGUUGUAAAGCCCUUUUGUUGGGAAAGAAAAGCAGCAGGUUAAUACCCCGCUGUUCUGACGGUACCCAAAGAAUAAGCACCGGCUAACUUCGUG